RNAcentral lists this ribosomal RNA (361 nucleotides) under Staphylococcus saprophyticus. RNAcentral describes it as "partial 16S ribosomal RNA". It matches the Rfam family "Bacterial small subunit ribosomal RNA", at positions 164 to 514 of the family's 1533-position model. Lineage: Bacteria; Bacillati; Bacillota; Bacilli; Caryophanales; Staphylococcaceae. The record is from RNAcentral.
CCUUUACGGAUAAAUUUGGACCGCAUGGUUCUAAAGUGAAAGAUGGUUUUGCUAUCACUUAUAGAUGGACCCGCGCCGUAUUAGCUAGUUGGUAAGGUAACGGCUUACCAAGGCGACGAUACGUWGCCGACCUGAGAGGGUGAUCGGCCACACUGRAACUGAGASACGGUCCAKACUCCUACGGGAGGCAGCAGUAGGGAAUCUUCCGCAAUGGGCGAAAGYCUGACGGAGCAACGCCGCGUGAGUGAUGAAGGKUUUCGGCUCGUAAAACUCUGUUGUUAGAGAAGAACAARSGUGUAAGUAACUGUKCAUGYCUUGACGGUAYCUAAYCAGAAAGCCACGGCUAACUACGUGCCAGCAA